Molecule: ribosomal RNA, 402 nt
Filed under: uncultured bacterium
Lineage: Bacteria
Description: bacterial SSU rRNA
Rfam family: Bacterial small subunit ribosomal RNA
Source: RNAcentral
GGGCCCGCACAAGCGGUGGAGCAUGUGGUUUAAUUCGAUGAUACGCGAGGAACCUUACCAGGGCUUAAAUGUAACGGGACAGAUCUAGAGAUAGAUCCUUCUUCGGACUCAUUACAAGGUGCUGCAUGGUUGUCGUCAGCUCGUGCCGUGAGGUGUCAGGUUAAGUCCUAUAACGAGCGCAACCCCCAUCGUUAGUUGCCAACGAGUAAUGUCGGGAACUCUAACGAAACUGCCGGUGCAAACCGUGAGGAAGGUGGGGAUGACGUCAAAUCAUCACGGCCCUUACGUCCUGGGCUACACACGUGCUACAAUGGUCGGUACAGAGAGCAGCCACUACGCGAGUAGGAGCAAAUCUUCAAAGCCGAUCUCAGUUCGGAUCGGAGUCUGCAACUCGACUCCGUG